Urocitellus parryii (Arctic ground squirrel) is the source of this 842-nucleotide non-coding RNA. Lineage: Eukaryota; Metazoa; Chordata; Mammalia; Rodentia; Sciuridae. The record is from RefSeq and is a predicted model, not a curated record.
GAYGGUGGGACCAAGAGCCCAGUGUGGGACGUGAGCUCCAGCCCUGCCUCCAAUGUCCAGGGGGAAGAUGAAGAGGACACCGAGCACAGGGAGCAUGGACAGCCUGACACACAGGUCCAUGCUGCAGAAGGCYCACAGGAGGUGACCUAUGUCCAGCUGCACCCAAGGACCCUCACCAGGAGUGUGGGUCCACUUCCCUCCCGAGCGCCCCAGGAUGGGUCAACACAGCCCUGUGUGUAUGCCACACUCACCUCGCCUUGAGGGGACAGCAGGGCUGGCUGAGUGGACGGCAGUGCCCAGGUGCCGCUCCAUGUCCCUCAGUGCCAGCCCCCAGGUGGGAGCCCUGAGACUCGGAGAGAGAAGCUCGUGCACUGCCGGGAACCCCGGGGGCUCUGGCGCAGUCCCGGCUCCUGGCAUAUUGUCACCAAGUGUUUCAGAGGAGCCUGCCUGGGCUCACGUGGGGAGGGGCGGGUGGCCGGGCAGGCCUCCUCUAAGGGACUGGCUACAGCUGCGGGAGGCCAGCCUGCCCUCCAGCCCUCAGGAAGCGGACGAGUGGCCUGAGGAGGACCCUGAGUCUUCYGCAGCUGGACGUCGUGGGUGGCGCUGCAGCAUGCUGGUCACGGUGCCCCCCGGGGGGCCAGUGCAUUCUGCCCACUGUGAUCCCAAGGGGGGCCUGGCUCACGCGGGGGCUUGGCCUUUGACCCCUUCAGCCCCCGUGGCUCUCUCCGUGGCUGCAGCCUCCACAGGCUCAGGUGCAGGGUCCCCUUGUCACCCUCCCCCACAUGCCCAGCUCCUCCGUGGCAUCUCGCAGUGGCCAGUCAGUGAUGGGAGCACUCUUUGUG